This 496-nucleotide ribosomal RNA is filed under the name uncultured bacterium. RNAcentral's name for it is "partial 16S ribosomal RNA". It matches the Rfam family "Bacterial small subunit ribosomal RNA", at positions 30 to 523 of the family's 1533-position model. The record is from RNAcentral.
AUUGAACGCUGGCGGAAUGCUUUACACAUGCAAGUCGAACGGUAGAGGGGGCAACCCCUCGAGAGUGGCGAACGGGUGAGUAAUAUAUCGGAACGUGCCCAGUCGUGGGGGAUAACGUAGCGAAAGUUACGCUAAUACCGCAUACGAUCUAAGGAUGAAAGCGGGGGAUCGCAAGACCUCGCGCGAUUGGAGCGGCCGAUAUCAGAUUAGGUAGUUGGUGGGGUAAAGGUUCACCAAGCCAACGAUCUGUAGCUGGGCUGAGAGGACGACCAGCCACACUGGAACGGAGACACGGUCCAGACGCCUACGGGAGGCAGCAGGGGGGAAUUUUGGACAAUGGACGUAAGUCUGAUCCAGCCAUUCCGCGUGCAGGAUGAAGGCCCUCGGGUUGUAAACUGCUUUUGUACGGAACGAAAAGGUCUCUCUUAAUACGGGGGACUCAUGACGGUACCGUAAGAAUAAGCACCGGCUAACUACGUGCCAGCAGCCGCGGUAA